RNAcentral lists this ribosomal RNA (257 nucleotides) under uncultured Geobacillus sp. RNAcentral's name for it is "partial 16S ribosomal RNA". It matches the Rfam family "Bacterial small subunit ribosomal RNA", at positions 1128 to 1382 of the family's 1533-position model. Lineage: Bacteria; Bacillati; Bacillota; Bacilli; Caryophanales; Anoxybacillaceae. The record is from RNAcentral.
CGGUUGGGCACUCUAGAGGGGACUGCCGGCGACAAGUCGGAGGAAGUGGGGAUGACGUCAAAUCAUCAUGCCCCUUAUGACCUGGGCUACACACGUGCUACAAUGGGCGGUACAAAGGGCUGCGAACCCGCGAGGGGGAGCGAAUCCCAAAAAGCCGCUCUCAGUUCGGAUUGCAGGCUGCAACUCGCCUGCAUGAAGCCGGAAUCGCUAGUAAUCGCGGAUCCAGCAUGCCGCGGUCGAAUACGUUCCCGGGCCUU